This 503-nucleotide ribosomal RNA is filed under the name uncultured bacterium. RNAcentral's name for it is "partial 16S ribosomal RNA". It matches the Rfam family "Bacterial small subunit ribosomal RNA", at positions 30 to 523 of the family's 1533-position model. The record is from RNAcentral.
AUUGAACGCUGGCGGCAGGCUUAACACAUGCAAGUCGAGCGGGGUGAUGGUGCUUGCACUAUCACUUAGCGGCGGACGGGUGAGUAAUGCUUAGGAAUCUGCCUAUUAGUGGGGGACAACAUCUCGAAAGGGAUGCUAAUACCGCAUACGUCCUACGGGAGAAAGCAGGGGAUCACUUGUGACCUUGCGCUAAUAGAUGAGCCUAAGUCGGAUUAGCUAGUUGGUGGGGUAAAGGCCUACCAAGGCGACGAUCUGUAGCGGGUCUGAGAGGAUGAUCCGCCACACUGGGACUGAGACACGGCCCAGACUCCUACGGGAGGGAGCAGUGGGGAAUAUUGGACAAUGGGGGGAACCCUGAUCCAGCCAUGCCGCGUGUGUGAAGAAGGCCUUAUGGUUGUAAAGCACUUUAAGCGAGGAGGAGGCCCUUUUGGUUAAUACCCAAGAUGAGUGGACGUUACUCGCAGAAUAAGCACCGGCUAACUCUGUGCCAGCAGCCGCGGUAA